AAUGAACGCUGGCGGCAUGCCUAACACAUGCAAGUCGAACGAAGGCUUCGGCCUUAGUGGCGCACGGGUGCGUAACGCGUGGGAAUCUGCCCUUGGGUUCGGAAUAACAGUUAGAAAUGACUGCUAAUACCGGAUGAUGUCGUAAGACCAAAGAUUUAUCGCCCAAGGAUGAGCCCGCGUAGGAUUAGCUAGUUGGUGGGGUAAAGGCCUACCUAGGCGACGAUCCUUAGCUGGUCUGAGAGGAUGAUCAGCCACACUGGGACUGAGACACGGCCCAGACUCCUACGGGAGGCAGCAGUGGGGAAUAUUGGACAAUGGGCGAAAGCCUGAUCCAGCAAUGCCGCGUGAGUGAUGAAGGCCUUAGGGUUGUAAAGCUCUUUUACCCGGGAUGAUAAUGACAGUACCGGGAGAAUAAGCUCCGGCUAACUUCGUG
Molecule: ribosomal RNA, 433 nt
Filed under: uncultured bacterium
Lineage: Bacteria
Description: partial 16S ribosomal RNA
Rfam family: Bacterial small subunit ribosomal RNA
Source: RNAcentral